GCACGCAUGGUAGGAGAGCGUUCCGUAAGCCUGCGAAGGUGCGUUGAAAAGCGUGCUGGAGGUAUCGGAAGUGCGAAUGCUGACAUGAGUAGCGAUAAAGGGGGUGAAAGGCCCCCUCGCCGUAAGCCCAAGGUUUCCUACGCAACGUUCAUCGGCGUAGGGUGAGUCGGCCCCUAAGGCGAGGCAGAAAUGCGUAGCUGAUGGGAAGCAGGUCAAUAUUCCUGCACCAUUGUUAGAUGCGAUGGGGGGACGGAUCGCGGAAGGUUGUCCGGGUGUUGGAAGUCCCGGUCGCUGCAUUGGAGAAGGCGCUUAGGCAAAUCCGGGCGCGUAAUUCAAGGGUGUGGCGCGAGCUCCUUAGGGAGCGAAGCAAUUGGAAGUGGUUCCAAGAAAAGCCUCUAAGCUUCAGUCUAACGAUGACCGUACCGCAAACCGACACAGGUGGGCGAGAUGAGUAUUCUAAGGCGCUUGAGAGAACUCGGGAGAAGGAACUCGGCAAAUUGGUACCGUAACUUCGGGAUAAGGUACGCCCUUGUAGCUUGACUGGCCUGCGCCAGGAGGGUGAAGGGGUUGCAAUAAACUGGUGGCUGCGACUGUUUAAUAAAAACACAGCACUCUGCAAACACGAAAGUGGACGUAUAGGGUGUGACGCCUGCCCGGUGCCGGAAGAUUAAAUGAUGGGGUGCAAGCUCUUGAUUGAAGUCCCGGUAAACGGCGGCCGUAACUAUAACGGUCCUAAGGUAGCGAAAUUCCUUGUCGGGUAAGUUCCGACCUGCACGAAUGGCGUAACGAUGGCCACACUGUCUCCUCCCGAGACUCAGCGAAGUUGAAGUGUUUGUGAUGAUGCAAUCUACCCGCGGCUAGACGGAAAGACCCCAUGAACCUUUACUGUAGCUUUGCAUUGGACUUUGAACCGAUCUGUGUAGGAUAGGUGGGAGGCUAUGAAACCGGAACGCUAGUUUCGGUGGAGCCGUCCUUGAAAUACCACCCUGGUUUGUUUGAGGUUCUAACCUUGGCCCGUGAUCCGGGUCGGGGACAGUGCAUGGUAGGCAGUUUGACUGGGGCGGUCUCCUCCCAAAGCGUAACGGAGGAGUACGAAGGUACGCUAGGUACGGUCGGAAAUCGUGCUGAUAGUGCAAUGGCAUAAGCGUGCUUAACUGCGAGACCGACAAGUCGAGCAGGUGCGAAAGCAGGUCAUAGUGAUCCGGUGGUUCUGUAUGGAAGGGCCAUCGCUCAACGGAUAAAAGGUACUCUGGGGAUAACAGGCUGAUACCGCCCAAGAGUUCAUAUCGACGGCGGUGUUUGGCACCUCGAUGUCGGCUCAUCUCAUCCUGGGGCUGUAGCCGGUCCCAAGGGUAUGGCUGUUCGCCAUUUAAAGAGGUACGUGAGCUGGGUUUAAAACGUCGUGAGACAGUUUGGUCCCUAUCUGCCGUGGGCGUUGGAUAUUUGAAGGGGGCUGCUCCUAGUACGAGAGGACCGGAGUGGACGAACCUCUGGUGUACCGGUUGUCACGCCAGUGGCAUCGCCGGGUAGCUAUGUUCGGAAGAGAUAACCGCUGAAAGCAUCUAAGCGGGAAACUCGCCUUAAGAUGAGAUAUCCCUGGG
RNAcentral lists this ribosomal RNA (1601 nucleotides) under Burkholderia contaminans. RNAcentral's name for it is "partial 23S ribosomal RNA". It matches the Rfam family "Bacterial large subunit ribosomal RNA", at positions 1219 to 2819 of the family's 2925-position model. The record is from RNAcentral. Lineage: Bacteria; Pseudomonadati; Pseudomonadota; Betaproteobacteria; Burkholderiales; Burkholderiaceae.